Long non-coding RNA from Formica exsecta, 692 nucleotides. RefSeq lists it as uncharacterized. The record is from RefSeq and is a predicted model, not a curated record. NCBI's taxonomy places the organism in Eukaryota, Metazoa, Arthropoda, Insecta, Hymenoptera, Formicidae. The transcript is spliced from 5 exons.
UCCUUUUCGCGAGUUGAGUUAUAUCGAUCGGUGGAUUAAUUAGUGUAUAAGAAAUAUAUUAUAUCGUGUCGAUGUAAUGAAAAGUACGCAAUGUAAAUUGAGAGGAGUGGCUAUAAAGGCGUGCGAUCGAAUCGUAAUAAUCUGUAAUAAAGAUAUCACCGUCAUUGUCUCAAACGGCUCAUGUCUUUCGCAGGAUUUUUCUUGUCCAGGAUUGAUCUGAUGCAACAGAAAUCAGAUACUGCAUAGACAGGACGUAUUGGUGAGUGAAUUUAUUUGCCGGAUUUUUCCUGUCCAGGAUCGAUGCAAUAAUAAACAGAAGCUGCAUCGACAGGACAUAUCGGAUUUUUCUUGUCCAGGAUCGAUGCAAUAUGCAACAGUAAUCAAAAGGAUGUAUCAACAGGAUAUCGGAUUUCUGAUCGCAGGAUCGACCUGGCGCGGCACGGAUCGAAAAUUAUAGUAGCAUCGGUGAGUGUUGAUUUCUUCCUCGGAUUGACCUGAUUAUAGAUAGAAUGUAUGGGGUGAGUGAAUCAAUUUAUGAUCCUUCCGAUUAUAUAUUGAACAGAUCUCCCCAUUUAUGAUCUUUAUGGUUAUAUUAUAGUGUGAUAUUAUUAUGUAUGUUUGCACAAACAUUUGCCUAUUCUUGUUACCAUUUUUAGAUUCUAACUACUUUGUAAAAAGUAAGAUUUAUAUAU